GACGAACGCUGGCGGCGUGCUUAACACAUGCAAGUCGAACGGAAAGGCCCUGCUUUUGUGGGGUGCUCGAGUGGCGAACGGGUGAGUAACACGUGUGUAACCUGCCCUUGACUUUGGGAUAACUUCAGGAAACUGGGGCUAAUACCGGAUAGGAGCUCCUGCUGCAUGGUGGGGGUUGGAAAGUUUCGGCGGUUGGGGAUGGACUCGCGGCUUAUCAGCUUGUUGGUGGGGUAGUGGCUGACCAAGGCUUUGACGGGUAGCCGGCCUGAGAGGGUGACCGGGCACAUGGGGACUGAGAUACGGCCCAGACUCCUACGGGAGGCAGCAGUGGGGAAUAUGGCACAAUGGGCGGAAGCCUGAUGCAGCAACGCCGCGUGCGGGAUGACGGCCUUCGGGUUGUAAACCGCUUUCGCCUGUGACGAAGCGUGAGUGACGGUAAUGGGUAAAGAAGCACCGGCUAACUACGUG
RNAcentral lists this ribosomal RNA (468 nucleotides) under uncultured bacterium. RNAcentral's name for it is "partial 16S ribosomal RNA". It matches the Rfam family "Bacterial small subunit ribosomal RNA", at positions 28 to 507 of the family's 1533-position model. The record is from RNAcentral.